UACAGAGGUCUCAAGCGUUGUUCGGAUUCAUUGGGCGUAAAGGGUGUGUAGGUGGCGCGCUAAGUCGGGUGUGAAAUUUCGGAGCUUAACUCCGAAACUGCAUUCGAUACUGGCGUGCUUGAGGACUGGAGAAGAGACUGGAAUUCAUGGUGUAGCAGUGAAAUGCGUAGAGAUCAUGAGGAAGACCAGUGGCGAAGGCGGGUCUCUGGACAGUUCCUGACACUGAGACACGAAGGCCAGGGGAGCAAACGGG
RNAcentral lists this ribosomal RNA (253 nucleotides) under uncultured bacterium. RNAcentral's name for it is "partial 16S ribosomal RNA". It matches the Rfam family "Bacterial small subunit ribosomal RNA", at positions 524 to 776 of the family's 1533-position model. The record is from RNAcentral.